UGCAAGUCGAGCGGUAACAGGUCUAGCUUGCUAGACGCUGACGAGCGGCGGACGGGUGAGUAAUGCAUAGGAAUCUGCCCGAUAGUGGGGGAUAACCUGGGGAAACCCAGGCUAAUACCGCAUACGUCCUACGGGAGAAAGGGGGCUUCGGCUCGCGCUAUCGGAUGAGCCUAUGUCGGAUUAGCUAGUUGGUGGGGUAAUGGCCCACCAAGGCGACGAUCCGUAGCUGGUCUGAGAGGAUGAUCAGCCACAUCGGGACUGAGACACGGCCCGAACUCCUACGGGAGGCAGCAGUGGGGAAUAUUGGACAAUGGGGGCAACCCUGAUCCAGCCAUGCCGCGUGUGUGAAGAAGGCCUUCGGGUUGUAAAGCACUUUCAGCGAGGAAGAACGCCUGGCGGUUAAUACCCGCCAGGAAAGACAUCACUCGCAGAAGAAGCACCGGCUAACUCCGUGCCAGCAGCCGCGGUAAUACGGAGGGUGCAAGCGUUAAUCGGAAUUACUGGGCGUAAAGCGCGCGUAGGUGGCUUGAUAAGCCGGUUGUGAAAGCCCCGGGCUCAACCUGGGAACGGCAUCCGGAACUGUCAAGCUAGAGUACAGGAGAGGAAGGUAGAAUUCCCGGUGUAGCGGUGAAAUGCGUAGAGAUCGGGAGGAAUACCAGUGGCGAAGGCGGCCUUCUGGACUGAUACUGACACUGAGGUGCGAAAGCGUGGGUAGCAAACAGGAUUAGAUACCCUGGUAGUCCACGCCGUAAACGAUGUCGACCAGCCGUUGGGUGCCUAGCGCACUUUGUGGCGAAGUUAACGCGAUAAGUCGACCGCCUGGGGAGUACGGCCGCAAGGUUAAAACUCAAAUGAAUUGACGGGGGCCCGCACAAGCGGUGGAGCAUGUGGUUUAAUUCGAUGCAACGCGAAGAACCUUACCUACCCUUGACAUCUACAGAACCCGGAAGAGAUUCCGGGGUGCCUUCGGGAACUGUAAGACAGGUGCUGCAUGGCUGUCGUCAGCUCGUGUUGUGAAAUGUUGGGUUAAGUCCCGUAACGAGCGCAACCCUUGUCCUUAUUUGCCAGCACGUAAUGGUGGGAACUCUAAGGAGACUGCCGGUGACAAACCG
RNAcentral lists this ribosomal RNA (1112 nucleotides) under Halomonas sp. CR-55. Its description in RNAcentral is "bacterial SSU rRNA". It matches the Rfam family "Bacterial small subunit ribosomal RNA", at positions 56 to 1165 of the family's 1533-position model. Lineage: Bacteria; Pseudomonadati; Pseudomonadota; Gammaproteobacteria; Oceanospirillales; Halomonadaceae. The record is from RNAcentral.